AUGAACGCUGGCGGCGUGCCUAAUACAUGCAAGUCGAGCGAACAGACGAGGAGCUUGCUCCUCUGACGUUAGCGGCGGACGGGUGAGUAACACGUGGAUAACCUACCUAUAAGACUGGGAUAACUUCGGGAAACCGGAGCUAAUACCGGAUAAUAUAUUGAACCGCAUGGUUCAAUAGUGAAAGACGGUUUUGCUGUCACUUAUAGAUGGAUCCGCGCCGCAUUAGCUAGUUGGUAAGGUAACGGCUUACCAAGGCAACGAUGCGUAGCCGACCUGAGAGGGUGAUCGGCCACACUGGAACUGAGACACGGUCCAGACUCCUACGGGAGGCAGCAGUAUGGAAUCUUCCGCAAUGGGCGAAAGCUUGACGGAGCAACGCCGCGUGAGUGAUGAAGGUCUUCGGAUCGUAAAACUCUGUUAUUAGGGAAGAACAAAUGUGUAAGUAACUAUGCACGUCUUGACGGUACCUAAUCAGAAAGCCACGGCUAACUACGUG
This 496-nucleotide ribosomal RNA is filed under the name uncultured bacterium. RNAcentral describes it as "partial 16S ribosomal RNA". It matches the Rfam family "Bacterial small subunit ribosomal RNA", at positions 29 to 507 of the family's 1533-position model. The record is from RNAcentral.